Molecule: ribosomal RNA, 442 nt
Filed under: uncultured bacterium
Lineage: Bacteria
Description: partial 16S ribosomal RNA
Rfam family: Bacterial small subunit ribosomal RNA
Source: RNAcentral
CCUACGGGUGGCAGCAGUAGGGAAUCUUUCACAAUGGGCGAUAGCCUGAUGGAGCAACGCCGCGUGCAGGAUGAAGGCCCUCGGGUUGUAAACUGCUUUUAUAAGCGAGAUAUAGGAUGGUAACUUAUGAAUAAGGAAUGGCUAACAACGUGCCAGCAGCGGCGGUCAUACGUAGGAUACGGGCAGUAUACGGAGUUUCUGAGCGUAAAGAGGUGCGAUGGGGGUAUAAUAAGUAGCUAGUGAAAUCUGGUGGCUCAACCAUUCAGACUGUUAGUGAAACUGUUAUGCUCGAGACCGUUAGAGGUAAGUGGAAUUCGUGGUGUAGGAGUGAAAUGCGUAGAUAUUAGAAAGAACACCAAUAGCGUAUGCAGGUUACUGGGACGGUUCUGACACUAAGGCACGAAAGCGUAGGGAGCAAACGGGAUUAGAUACCCCAGUAGUC